AACAAUGAUGGGGACACAAACUAAGUAACUCUUUAAAACACUCCCAUGCUUAAUAUAAAGUCUCAUUGUCCUUUUGUGUAAAAGUUGAGAUUUACCUUUUCAAAAU
Molecule: small nucleolar RNA, 106 nt
Organism: Carya illinoinensis
Lineage: Eukaryota; Viridiplantae; Streptophyta; Magnoliopsida; Fagales; Juglandaceae
Source: RefSeq, a predicted model, not a curated record